RNAcentral lists this ribosomal RNA (418 nucleotides) under uncultured bacterium. Its description in RNAcentral is "partial 16S ribosomal RNA". It matches the Rfam family "Bacterial small subunit ribosomal RNA", at positions 338 to 754 of the family's 1533-position model. The record is from RNAcentral.
CCUACGGGAGGCAGCAGUGAGGAAUAUUGGUCAAUGGCCGAGAGGCUGAACCAGCCAAGUCGCGUGAGGGAAGACGGCCCUACGGGUUGUAAACCUCUUUUGUCGGGGAGCAAAGAGAGGCACGUGUGACUCAUUGAGAGUACCCGAAGAAAAAGCAUCGGCUAACUCCGUGCCAGCAGCCGCGGUAAUACGGAGGAUGCGAGCGUUAUCCGGAUUUAGUGGGUUUAAAGGGUGCGCAGGCGGAGGUGCAAGUCAGCGGUCAAAUUGCGGGGCUCAACCCCGGACUGCCGUUGAAACUGCAUCCCUUGAUUGCGCGAGACGUAUGCGGCCUGCGUGGUGUAGCGGUGCACUGCCUCGCUAUCACGCAGAACUCCGAUUGCGAAGGCAGCCUCCCGGCGCGCAACUGACGCUCAUGCAC